This 390-nucleotide ribosomal RNA is filed under the name uncultured bacterium. RNAcentral describes it as "bacterial SSU rRNA". It matches the Rfam family "Archaeal small subunit ribosomal RNA", at positions 336 to 726 of the family's 1478-position model. The record is from RNAcentral.
CAGGCGCGAAAACUUUACAAUGCUGGCAACAGCGAUAAGGGAACCUCGAGUGCCAGGUUACAAAUCUGGCUGUCGUGAUGCCUAAAAAGCAUUACAUAGCAAGGGCCGGGCAAGACCGGUGCCAGCCGCCGCGGUAACACCGGCGGCUCGAGUGGUAACCGUUAUUAUUGGGUCUAAAGGGUCUGUAGCCGGCCGGAUAGGUCUCUUGGGAAAUCUGGCAGCUCAACUGUCAGGCUUUCAGGAGAUACUGUCUGGCUCGAGGCCGGGAGAGGUGAGAGGUACUUCAGGGGUAGGGGUGAAAUCUUGUAAUCCUUGAAGGACCACCAGUGGCGAAGGCGUCUCACCAGAACGGACCUGACGGCAAGGGACGAAAGCUAGGGGCACGAACCG